AGCCGCGGUAAUUCCAGCUCGCAAAAUGCAUAGAAUUAUUGCUGCGGUUAAAAAGUUGGUAGUGGGUUCUGUGCUGGCGUGUUGGUCCCCCUCCGGGUGCGCACUGGCAGCCGUCGGCUUUUGUGCAGCUCAAGCGGCUCGGUUGCCCCUCACUGGGUGCCGUGUCCGUUGCUGCAAGUUUACCUUGAGCAAAUCAGAGUGCUCUACACAGGCGUUUCGCUUGAAUGUUCGUGCAUGGAAUAAUAGAAGAAGAAUUCGGUUCCAUUUUAUUGGUUUUAUAGACCGGGAUAAUGGUUAACAGAGACAAACGGGGGCACUCGUAUUGCUACGUGAGAGGUGAAAUUCUUGGACCGCAGCCAGACGAACUACAGCGAAAGCAUUUGCCAAGAAUG
Molecule: ribosomal RNA, 392 nt
Filed under: Pratylenchus zeae
Lineage: Eukaryota; Metazoa; Nematoda; Chromadorea; Rhabditida; Pratylenchidae
Description: SSU rRNA
Rfam family: Eukaryotic small subunit ribosomal RNA
Source: RNAcentral